GUCACGAUCGAACACUGUUCUCGCCGUGAAGAAGCUCUGGAGAUCCGCCGCCGAUAUUGAGGAUGGAAACACCGGAGAUUUCGUUGGCGAAGUAAACCUUCUGGGAAAAUUGAGACACAGGAACAUCGUGAGGCUCCUUGGGUUCCUAUACAACGACAAAAACAUGAUGAUUGUAUACGAAUUCAUGCUUAACGGGAACCUCGGCGACGCGAUUCACGGGAAAAACGCCGCCGGGAGGCUGCUCGUCGAUUGGGUCUCGCGUUACAACAUCGCGCUUGGUGUCGCUCACGGCCUCGCUUACCUCCACCAUGAUUGUCAUCCUCC
This 324-nucleotide long non-coding RNA is filed under the name Eutrema salsugineum. Its description in RNAcentral is "long non-coding RNA (ESAL_LNC002053)". Lineage: Eukaryota; Viridiplantae; Streptophyta; Magnoliopsida; Brassicales; Brassicaceae. The record is from RNAcentral.